AACGCACAUUGCGCCCCUUGGUAUUCCGGGGGGCAUGCCUCUUCCAGCGUCAUUUCACCCCUCAAGCUCUGCUUGGUGUUGGGCCGCGCCAGCAAUGGCGGGCCUCGAAAACAGUGGCGACGCCAUCGGGCUCUCAGCGUAGUAACUUUUCUCGCUGCUGGGCUCCGGUGGACUGGUCCGCCAGUAACCCCCAACUUUUCUAAGUUUGACCUGGGAUGAGGUAGGGAUACCCGCUGAACUUAA
This 243-nucleotide unclassified non-coding RNA is filed under the name uncultured fungus. Its description in RNAcentral is "sequence contains ITS2". The record is from RNAcentral. Lineage: Eukaryota; Fungi.